CUACGUGCCAGCAGCCGCGGUAAUACGGAAGGUCCGGGCGUUAUCCGGAUUUAUUGGGUUUAAAGGGAGCGUAGGCUGGAGAUUAAGUGUGUUGUGAAAUGUAGACGCUCAACGUCUGACUUGCAGCGCAUACUGGUUUCCUUGAGUACGCACAACGUUGGCGGAAUUCGUCGKGUAGCGGUGAAAUGCUUAGAUAUGACGAAGAACUCCGAUUGCGAAGGCAGCUGACGGGAGCGCAACUGACGCUUAAGCUCGAAGGUGCGGGUAUCAAACAGGAUUAGAUACCCUGGUAGUCCGCACAGUAAACGAUGGAUGCCCGCUGUUGGUACCUGGUAUCAGCGGSUAAGCGAAAGCAUUAAGCAUCCCACCUGGGGAGUACGCCGGCAACGGUGAAACUCAAAGGAAUUGACGGGGGCCCGCMCAAGCGGAGGAACAUGUGGUUUAAUUCGAUGAUACGCGAGGAMCCUUACCCGGGCU
This 477-nucleotide ribosomal RNA is filed under the name uncultured bacterium. RNAcentral describes it as "bacterial SSU rRNA". It matches the Rfam family "Bacterial small subunit ribosomal RNA", at positions 501 to 981 of the family's 1533-position model. The record is from RNAcentral.